UUGCUAAUGGAAUCAAACAUGAUUGAAAUGUUUUAACAUAUGAACAACAAGACAUUACAGCAAACAUGUUUAUUUAGGAGGGGGCACAUUAACAAUCAAACUCACCAACCACAUUACAAUGGACCCAAUGACCUUAAAAACAAUGAAAAAUACCAAGAAACCAAACAAAAUAGUAAGGAAAGGAGGUCCCUUUGAAGCAUUGCUAGUUUCCUUUACAUCUGAUCCUUUGUUAGAUGCUUUUCCACCACUAGAGUUGGAGUUUGUAGCACAAACAGUCAAUAUCUUAUGAU
RNAcentral lists this long non-coding RNA (290 nucleotides) under Lathyrus oleraceus (garden pea). Its description in RNAcentral is "Pisum sativum (pea) long non-coding RNA (PSAT_LNC002675)". The record is from RNAcentral. Lineage: Eukaryota; Viridiplantae; Streptophyta; Magnoliopsida; Fabales; Fabaceae.